Molecule: ribosomal RNA, 450 nt
Filed under: uncultured bacterium
Lineage: Bacteria
Description: partial 16S ribosomal RNA
Rfam family: Bacterial small subunit ribosomal RNA
Source: RNAcentral
CCUACGGGUGGCUGCAGUAGGGAAUAUUGGGCAAUGGACGAAAGUCUGACCCAGCCAUGCCGCGUGCAGGAUGACUGCCCUAUGGGUUGUAAACUGCUUUUCUAUGGGAAGAAACACUCAUACGUGUAUGAACUUGACGGUACCAUAGGAAUAAGGAUCGGCUAACUCCGUGCCAGCAGCCGCGGUAAUACGGAGGAUCCAAGCGUUAUCGGGAUUCAUUGGGUUGAAGGGGUGCGUAGGAGGAAGAGGUGAAAUCUUGCGGCUCAACCGUAAAAUUGCCUUUGAAACUGGUAGUCUUGAGUUCGGUCGAGGUGGAUGGAAUGUGUCAUGUAGCGGUGAAAUGCUUAGAUAUGACCCAGAACACCAAUUGCGAAGGCAGUUCACUAGACCGAUACUGACGCUGAGGCACGAAAGCGUGGGGAGCGAACAGGAUUAGAUACCCCAACAGUC